RNAcentral lists this ribosomal RNA (255 nucleotides) under uncultured bacterium. Its description in RNAcentral is "partial small subunit ribosomal RNA". It matches the Rfam family "Bacterial small subunit ribosomal RNA", at positions 26 to 286 of the family's 1533-position model. The record is from RNAcentral.
AGGACGAACGCUGGCGGCGUGCUUAACACAUGCAAGUCGAGCGGAAAGGCCCUUCGGGGUACUCGAGCGGCGAACGGGUGAGUAACACGUGGGCAACCUGCCCCUAGCUCUGGGAUAACUCCGGGAAACCGGUGCUAAUACCGGAUACGACCUCAUUAGGCAUCCUUUGAGGUGGAAAGAUUUAUCGGCUAGGGAUGGGCCCGCGGCCUAUCAGCUUGUUGGUGGGGUAACGCCUACCAAGGCGACGACGGGUAG